This 3238-nucleotide long non-coding RNA is filed under the name Capsicum annuum. RNAcentral describes it as "long non-coding RNA (CANN_LNC002638)". Lineage: Eukaryota; Viridiplantae; Streptophyta; Magnoliopsida; Solanales; Solanaceae. The record is from RNAcentral.
AAAGCUCCAAACAAAAAAAUGAGUCUAAAACUCAAACGAACUAUCCAAUAACUGAACCAAAAAUUUCUACAAGUCUUAAAUGAGCUGUAGCAGCUGGAAAGAACUGAAAUGUUGGAAAUGCAUGUAAAUCGGGGAAAUGAUCUAGAGGAUCUUUACACCAGCCCACCACCCAUUUAACCCCAUCUUCUUCUUCACUUCAACAUAACACCAACAACACGCGACAACAUAAACAUUCAUCAGCUCAACAACAUCGACCUAUAUAAACACAAAAUUCCCAAAGGUCCUUUGCCGCCCAGAGUUCCCUCUCUUUAUACAUCUACAUAUGAUAAGCACAAUUUCUGCACUUCGAUCGUUCUAACAUCUGCGACAUUGCAGUAUCCAUGAUAUUUCCUUUUCUAAAAAUUGUCACAAUUUUGCAAAUUCGUUUAGAGAUUGUGCGAAAUCCAACGUGGAACAUUAUCCUCAAAACUGAUUUUGAAUUAUAAAAUUCAAAAACCCCAAUUAUCCCCAAUAUUGAUUUUUACCCUAAUCAUACGAAUUCGGAUGAUUCGAUACAGCAAAAGCUCAUCCAACAAGAUUCCAGAACUCCUAAAUCCCACAUUUAAAUUUCAUUCUCAAAGACCUAAAAUCAUUCCUAUAUAAACCCUUUUACUCCAUCGUUUGACGAGAAGGUUAAAGACAGUCAACAGUAGAGAACUCCAACUGAGAAAGGGAUUUCGCUAAGACUGAAGAUUCUAGUGUCAAGAAAUGUGAUAAGACUCACUUGAUCUCAAAUUUAUAGGCUAAGGAUUGAGCUUGUUUUUGGUGGUGGUACGAAAAAAAUUAGAAGAAGCUGGAAGGCCUGAUAUUGUUGCUCUGAAAUAGGUGAUACCCCUAUUCCUCUUGUGUUCUAUCUCAAUUUAUCUUCUUGCAUCAUGAUGCUUCUUGUUGUAGCUUUCUUUUUAGUACUAUCUAUGUUCUGAUUGUGAUUUUUCAUUCAUCCGCAGUAGUAGCGCCAAAUUUCACACAUGAGCAUGGGAAUGGACUUAAUACUGUUGGCUCUUUUCGUUUAAAUUAUUUCAGCCUGUGUACUAUUUCAAGGGGUUUAAUUCUAAAGUUUCUUCCUUUGCUAUUUGUGAUUCGUUCAUGUCUUUGCGUUAGUUAGGUUAGUUUGAGCAUUAACAUGAGUUUCAAUCAUGUUUGUCUAAGCUUUACUACUAUUUCUUUUUUCCUCUUAUUAGAAAUAUGUAAGAAUUACCUUUCUGUUGAACGCGUUUGUUUAUAUAACUUUGUUCGUUCUUGUCAUUUUUAGCGAAUGGUAUCGCAAAACUCGUCCUACCACUUGGGCAAUUGCUCACUAUUGUUUUGAUUUACGAGUUAAGACAACUUAAAGUUGUUCGAUUUGAAUGGUUAGAGUUUGUCUCUCUUUGAGCUUGUAUUGCUAAUGCGUCGAUUCAAUAGGUCGAAAAUUUGUUUUUAAGGCUAUCUGUUAAAGAGCAGUGACCCCUUUUUUUUAUUCUUUUUCACAUAUUGAAGGCCAUCUCCUUGUAUGAUCUUUGCUUAUGACUCUUUAUUUUGUUUCAAUCAUUUUCCUUUGUCAACAAAUAAAUCUUUAAUUUUUAGGCGAUUGAAUUCAUCCCUAUCUCUCAGUCUUUCCCCUUUUCUUUUUCCCUUAGAAGCCUCCACUGAAUCAUGAAACACUAUGACCAAGUGUAAGUGAAUCCAUGAAAGAGCCUAGAAUUCUCAUCUUUAAGCUUUUUUGAAAAUCUGAAAAUCACUACGCUAUGAGUGUGAGUUCAAUAAGGCCUUUAAGUUAUUUGUUCGUCCUCUCUUUUUAGUUAUUCUUCUUCGAUGGACUUUGUGUGGUAUUAACUACGAAAUUUGCUUAAUGAUUUCUGAUUUUAACUGUAUUCGUUGGUUCGAGUUAUAAAUGGUUACAUUGUAUUAUUCUUAUAAUAGAUUAAAGGUCCUUGAGGGACCGAUUUGAUUUGUACAUAUUGUAACUUUUCAAGAGAUGAUGAAAUAAGUAAGUUUUAAAUUAUUAUAUGGCAAUUCUUCUUGGAUAUGUUUUUGAUUGAAAGAAGUUGGAUUUAGCUUUUUGAUCAAUCAUUGAUUAUUUUUAUGGAAUGAAAGUUACUUAUUUUGCUCUUUAUGUAUUAAUUAGGUUCUAAUCUUUAUAUCUUUUUCUUUGCAUGUGAAACUUUUCCGCAUUCAAAUGGACUUUCUUCACCUCGCAUUUCUCCAAUGGGUCAACAAGGCUCGUUUUUCUUUUAGUUUGAGUCUCCCGACCAAAUGGACUGGAUAGCGUGAAAUGAGCCAAGACCCAUGAAAUUUAAGUUCAUGACUAGUCUUGAUAGGUCAAGCAGAGGCCCAAGUUUCAUCUUUCCUCUCUUUAAUUACUAGUAAUACAUAUUUGUUUAUUUGUAUUAACUCUAAUAUUUUUCUUAACUUAGUUUGAAUUUUCCUUUUGAAUUGGCAAUGUUUUGCAAAUAAAUUCUUUUAUAGAUUUAACAUGAUUGAUUUUAUUAUUCGAUUCAAAGCUAUUAACCGAUGUUUGUUUUCCCAAAAUAAUGGUAUAAGUUCAAAUUGGAAUAAAAAAGAAAAAUUACCUUCAUUGACAAAUCUCAAACUUCUCUGAAUUAAGGCAUCUUUUUUCUCAAAAUCCCUUUUUCAUAAGUUAGUCAAUUAAGUUAAUUUCAAAUAAGAUCGAACAAUCGCAAGUUAUCGGAUAAUCUUGGUGCUAUAACAACUUUUCAAGAGUAUUAAUUGUAACCACUUACCCAAUUUUUUAACUCUUGAAAGAUAUUUUCUAUUUUUAACUUUUAAGUAUAUUAUUAAAGAUUUUCUUAAUUUUCCUUGAUCAAAUUAAGUGGCAAAUCGGUUUCUUUCAAUAUUAAAUUUGAACUUUUUUAUAAGUGUUCGAAUUAGUAAAAUCGCAAAAGUUCGUCUUCUCUGCAAAUCAGACACAAUCACAUUGUAUCUUGAGAUACUCUAUAACACUUGUCUUUAACUUAGUCCAAAGACUUUCAAGCAAUCAUUGACACUAUCAAAUUGUGUCUUGAUUUAUGAGAUAUUCUAUAAAUCUUUAGAGGCAAGACUUACACAAAGACUUUCAAACAACAAUUUACGUAUCAUGGCAAAAGUUAAUGCUACCACAUUGUAUCUUGAUUUAUGAGAUGUUUAAAAAAAAAUAAAAAUAAAAUAAAGGUUGAGACGAAUAAAUUAAAACAAAAAAAUAAAAAAUAAAAUCAGGAAACAG